GACGAACGCUGGCGGCGUGCUUAACACAUGCAAGUCGAACGGUGAACCUCUUCGGAGGGGAUCAGUGGCGAACGGGUGAGUAACACGUGGGCAACCUGCCCCCGGCUCUGGGAUAACUCCAAGAAAUUGGGGCUAAUACCGGAUGUUCACCGCUUCCCGCAUGGGUGGUGGUGGAAAGGGUUUCCGGCUGGGGAUGGGCCCGCGGCCUAUCAGCUUGUUGGUGGGGUAGUGGCCUACCAAGGCGACGACGGGUAGCCGGCCUGAGAGGGUGACCGGCCACACUGGGACUGAGACACGGCCCAGACUCCUACGGGAGGCAGCAGUGGGGAAAAUUGCGCAAUGGGCGGAAGCCUGACGCAGCGACGCCGCGUGGGGGAUGACGGCCUUCGGGUUGUAAACCUCUUUCAGCAGGGACGAAGCGCAAGUGACGGUACCUGCAGAAGAAGCACCGGCCAACUACGUG
RNAcentral lists this ribosomal RNA (463 nucleotides) under uncultured bacterium. RNAcentral's name for it is "partial 16S ribosomal RNA". It matches the Rfam family "Bacterial small subunit ribosomal RNA", at positions 28 to 507 of the family's 1533-position model. The record is from RNAcentral.